Molecule: ribosomal RNA, 214 nt
Filed under: uncultured bacterium
Lineage: Bacteria
Description: partial 16S ribosomal RNA
Rfam family: Bacterial small subunit ribosomal RNA
Source: RNAcentral
ACGCUCGACACCUACGGGGGCAGCAGUAGGGAAUCUUCCACAAUGGACGCAAGUCUGAUGGAGCAACGCCGCGUGAGUGAAGAAGGUCUUCGGAUCGUAAAACUCUGUUGUUAGAGAAGAACACGAGUGAGAGUAACUGUUCAUUCGAUGACGGUAUCUAACCAGCAAGUCACGGCUAACUACGUCGCAGNNGCGNGUAUNGAGGCGGNNGNAG